UAAUACCUGCAGCUCAAGUGGUGACCGCUAUUAUUGGGCCUAAAACGUUCGUAGCCGGUUUGGUAAAUGCCUGGGUAAAUCGUGUAGCUUAACUAUACGAAUUCCGGGUAGACUGCCAAACUUGAGACCGGGAGAAGCUAGAGGUACUCCUUGGGUAGAGGUGAAAUUCUGUAAUCCUAGGGGGACCACCAGUGGCGAAGGCGUCUAGCUAGAACGGGUUUGACGGUGAGGAACGAAGCCCUGGGGCGCAAACCGGAUUAGAUACCCGGGUAGUCCAGGGUGUAAACGCUGCUUGCUUGAUGUUAGUUGGGCUCCGAGCCUAAUUAGUGUCGGAGAGAAGUUGUUAAGCAAGCUGCCUGGGAAGUACGAUCGCAAGAUUG
RNAcentral lists this ribosomal RNA (380 nucleotides) under uncultured Thermoplasmata archaeon. Its description in RNAcentral is "bacterial SSU rRNA". It matches the Rfam family "Archaeal small subunit ribosomal RNA", at positions 471 to 851 of the family's 1478-position model. The record is from RNAcentral. Lineage: Archaea; Methanobacteriati; Thermoplasmatota; Thermoplasmata.